This 440-nucleotide ribosomal RNA is filed under the name uncultured bacterium. RNAcentral's name for it is "partial 16S ribosomal RNA". It matches the Rfam family "Bacterial small subunit ribosomal RNA", at positions 338 to 795 of the family's 1533-position model. The record is from RNAcentral.
UCUACGGGAGGCAGCAGUGGGGAAUAUUGCACAAUGGGGGGAACCCUGAUGCAGCGACGCCGCGUGACGGAAGAAGUAUUUCGGUAUGUAAAGCUCUAUCAGCAGGGAAGAAAAUGACGGUACCAGACUAAGAAGCCCCGGCUAACUACGUGCCAGCAGCCGCGGUAAUACGGAGGGGGCAAGCGUAAUCCGGAUUUACUGGGUGUAAAGGGAGGGUAGACGGGGCAGCCAGUCUGAUGUGAAAGGUAGGGGGCCAACCCCGGGACAGCAUUGGAAACUGUUGAACUGGAGUACAGGAGAGGUAAGCGGAAUUCCUAGUGUAGCGGUGAAAUGCGGAGAUAGUAGGAGGAACUCCAGUGGCGAAGGCGGCUUACUGGACUGUAACUGACGUUGAGGCUCGAAAGCGUGGGGAGCAAACAGGAUUAGAUACCCGUGUAGUC